AGACCAUGUGUGAGUGUGUGAGCUCCUAUUUGAGGGAACAAGGUAAAGCCCUUGUUUCUGAGGAAGGAGAAGGAAAGAACCCCGUUGAUUAUAUUCAGGGCUUAUUGGAUCUGAAGAGUAGGUUUGAUCACUUCCUCCAGGAAUCAUUUAAUAAUGACCGGCUCUUUAAACAAACUAUUGCAGGUGACUUGGAAUAUUUUCUCAACUGCAACUCCAGGUCCCCUGAGUUUAUCAUUAUUUAUUGAUGAUAAGCUGAAAAAGGGAGUAAAAGGGACUGAAUGUGGAUGUCAGUUCACAUCAAAACUGGAAGGAAUGUUUAGGGAAAUGAGCAUCUCAAGCAUAACUAUGGAUGAAUUCAGGCAACAUCUACAGACAACCGGGGUAAGAUUCUCCACUUAUUUCUACUUUUAAAUGAAAUUCCUUCUUGUAUAGUCUUUUUGUUUUUAAUUAAAGUAUCGUUGAUAACAUAAUAUUACAUUGGUUUAAAGUAUAUGACACUGU
This is a long non-coding RNA of Manis pentadactyla (Chinese pangolin), 501 nucleotides long. RefSeq lists it as uncharacterized. The transcript is spliced from 3 exons. The record is from RefSeq and is a predicted model, not a curated record. NCBI's taxonomy places the organism in Eukaryota, Metazoa, Chordata, Mammalia, Pholidota, Manidae.